GCUAAAUUAUUACUGUCAUAGAUCUAUCAGUUCCCGUUUCUUCAUUUUCAUUCAACAGAAACAACUCUCCGUGUAUUCUCGUCGUCUCAGUGAAAAUUCAAUCACCAAAUAUAAAUAUGGUGAUCAAAGAAACACUUGAUUAAGCUUGAUAAACCAAAACCUUCUGUUUUCGAUACAUUCUUUUUGAAGAUUAACUCGGAGUUUAAAUGAAAAGUUGAGGAGAUUCAAGAACAUCAAAUUAAUUUGACGGUUUCAUCAUAGUAGAAAGCGGUUUGAAGAUAAGUUAAAUAUGUUCUUAUCAUUUGAUUUUAUUUCCAUUGUUAACUUAUCGAUUUAAAAAUUGAUUUUAGGAUUUUUUAACGGUUUUUGAAACCUAAUUACUUUGAUUUCAGUCCGACUUUUAUUCGACUAAUAAAAGAGUUUAGAUUAUAAUCACGUCAUCUAAUCUUCUUACUCUAAAACUCUCUAUGUUCCUGAACCAGUUCCCAAAAAUGGAAACCAUUUGAAUAUGUUUUCCGUUUUGGAUGAACAGGUAGUCACAAUUCAUAUAUACCUAACCUUAUUGCUUGUGUUUCAGUUUUUCAUUUGAUCUUGAUUGGUGCAUGUGCUUUAUUUUCAUUUUUUAGAUUCCUUUAUCAUCUAAUUCGUCUAUUUAUUGAUGUUCUGCAUUUGGUGAUUAUUACUGGGCAAUCGUAGUUUUAUUAGUAUAUUAUUCUCAUUUAAAGUUUAUGUGUCUAUUGCUUUUGGUGGGGAAAAAUGUUCAUGUCUCUGAAUGUUACCUAUUUCUUGAAUACUUGCCACUUAGUGCAUAAUCUUAUAGUGUGCUUAACAGUUGUUUCUUAGGACUUCACUUGAUCGAGAUGGACCUUAAUGCAUAAUCUUAUAGUGUGCUUAACAGUUGUUUCUUAGGACUUCACUUGAUCGAGAUGGACCUUAAGAUGCUUUUACUAGUGAUAAUAUUUCUCAUGUGAUCAUUUAAAUUGCACUUUUUUUUGUCUACUUCAGGGUAAUUAUGGCAAACAAUUUUUAAUAGGACUGGUAUAGUUUACGCAUAUCGUCAGGACUUCAAAACCUCAUUUAGGUAAGGAUAUUUAUAUUGGUUGUCUUUCUUUUAGUAAAUUAUGCGGAAAAUCUCGAGUUUAUGUUUAAUUUGUACUUAGGUUCGUUAGAUCUUUUCCCUGCCAAACUAUAAAUUCAAUUAAUGGUGUGCACUGAUUAAAAAGAAUGAAAUUUAAUAAGUAUCAUCCCCAAGAUUAUGUAGUUCCAGUCCUCAAGAGCAAUAAAAUGUUAUAUCAGAUGUUGCAUCAAGUGGUUAACUUGGCUACUUAUAGAAUGGUAGGAUUAAACAUGUGUUGGGAGGAUUAGGUGGUCCAUAACCAUGAUUAUAUGAAAAUUAGAUGCUAUUGAAUUACUAAUUAUCUUAAUAUCACCAUGACCGUGUAGAUUAAGUGGUCCAUAACCAAUGGUUUAAGUGGAUAUAAUAUUUUAUGAGGUUCACUUGCGCAAUUUAACUAUUAUGCUUAAUCAUAAAAAUAAGAAUUGACUGGUGUAUUUUCUUGUACACCUGUUAUAUGGGUGCACAUGUGAGUGCAUCUUUGUUUGUGCUUGCUAUACAAUGUGUAUAUGCUUGUACACCAACUAUAUUUAGUGCACUUUUGUUGUGGUGGUGGAUUAGGUAUGUCAAUCAAGAGAUUUUUGGUGAGAACAUUACUGAACAAGCUGCAGUUAGAGAUGUUCAAAAAUCUUGUAUAUGUGAUGAUAAAUUCUUACUUCUUUUUGUGCAUUUUUAUCUAAGAUUGAUUGUGGUUAAUAGUUUGAUAGAUGUUUUAUGUGCAUGGUAAUCUUUACCUAAAUUGUAUGCAUGCCAAAAUGCUUUACUGUGUCUCCCGUGCAUUUUCAUGUUGCAAAAGUUAGUUUUAGAGAGAAGAGAAUGAACCAUGGCCUACCUCAACAUUUCAGACGUCGAACAUGUGCCUUGCCCUUGCUUGAAAAGUAGCUCAAGGUGUGUUUUUUUAAAUGCUAUCGUAAAGUCCUUUAACUUCCAAUGUGUACAUAGUUGUACACAUAUUGAUUCUUAAUGUGUACAUAAUUGUACACAUGUUGAUAUUGGCCAUGGAGAAGUCAAAUCUUGGGAAAGCUGAGAUAAUGAGUUUUUUUGUAUCUAAGAUGAUCCCAUCAUGGUUCCUGCCUUCCAGUUGAAAGAAGCUCGAUAUGGGGGUUUGCUUGGCUGUUGGAAUUCGAUCCUAAAUCAGUUCCAUCUUGUUUUUAUGAGGAAAUAUUAACAAAAAGCUGCCCAGACUGGCUGGUUAUGGAUGUGGAUGAUCUAGCGCUCAUGCAACUUUCUGGUACUAUGGUCAUGAACUAGAAAUGUGGAACUGUUGAAGGCGUCACUUAGUGCAGUUGAAUACAUUUCCUCACUGUUUAACUCAGAGGAUGAGUUGAAGAUGAUAAAGGAGGUUGUGAUCACAUCUGCCUUUGGAAGUGACCUCACCUUAUGCUCUAUGCUUGCAGCCCAAGAUGCUGCAACACGGUUCAAGGUAUACUUGGUUCCUUUUCUGAUUCUUAUCUUGAUAUUGGUCUAAGCUGAUAACAUGAUUGUGUUCGUUAGGUUUCUUAGUUGAAUUUGAAUAAUACAACCUUUGUUUUACAAAUAUAUUUUAUUGUAGAAUUAGCCUUUGUGUUCACCAACACAACCAGUGUAGCUUGCUUGUUUGUCCUUCCCUGUGCAUACAGUGGUUUUUUACAUAUUAAAUUUAAGGACUCAUAAACACCAAAUGGCUUAGUAAUGUAUUGCGUGAGGGUCCUAAUGAAAGCUUUACUAGGUGUUUUUUAGGGGUGUACAUAUUGGUGCACUUGUGUAAUUCCCAUGAAAAAAUAGGUUGGUGUUUGGUUAUGAAUGGUCUCUCUUAUGCAUGGUUUGCAGGGGUGUAUAGCUUGCUUGUUUGUCCUUCCCUAUGCAUACAGUGGUUUUUUACAUAUUAAAUUUAAGGACCCAUAAACACCAAAUGUCUUAGUUAUGUAUUGCGUGAGGGUCCUAAUGAAAGUCUUACUAGGUGUUUUUUAGGAUAUGCCCAUUUUUGUGUUUUUUUUUCUUUCUUUCUUUUUGUUGUAGACUUUUUAUGCGUAGACGAUUCAAGUUGUAUAUGUGUAUAAACUUCGGCAUUUUGUUCUGUCUCGUGAAUAUACGACAUGUUUUCUGUAUGCGGAUGUUAGAUUUUGUACAUAUGUACAUGGUGUACACUACUGUCAUGUCUCAUUGAUAUAUGUGGCCUGUUUUAUGGGUAUGGAUGCUGGAUUUUCAUGAUUUUUGUAGAUGUGUACAUGGUGGUACACCACCAUGUGUACACAUUUGUGUUUAUGCCUGCUAGCUCGAGUUGUGGUGAAGGAAAGAUGUAUUUGGUUUGAUUAGAGUUUAUGUCUGCUAGCUCGAGUCUGAAAGAAGAUGGUGUUACUGAGAUUUCAAGGGUGUUAGAAUUGUUGAUUUGAUGAAUAUGAGAUGGAGACAGUGUUGUUAUUUUGUGUGAUUUAGAGUCUACAGUGAGUAAGCUGAUAACGAAAUGAAGAAGCGCUGUGUAUUAUUGCUGGCUGAGAAAUUACAGGGUAUGGAUGAGCUGCAGCUGGCUAUGAAGCAAUUGCAGGUGAUGCUAUGGUAAAUUUGGAAGAAUGAGUUUGCUUCUAUGUUGCAGUACAAGGAAUAGUGCAGCUGAGUAACUGGUGCUAUUGAGAUGGUAGAACUCUGAAGUGGUGAUCUGGUGAAUAAAUAUGAAAUGCCGAUGGAAUUGCAAAGAUGAAAUCUGAAAUGUGUGAUGUUGGUGGUACUGAGGAGCGGGAAUUUAUGUUGUUGUUGGAUGGAUAGUGUUGUUGUAGAGAAGUGCAGCUAAGAUUGGAAAGCUGCAGAAACAGGUAAAAAAUUUGAGUUGAAUGGUUGAGGUGCUGUAGUUGUUUGCAGCAGCAGGGUUAAGGGUGGUUGAGCGUUGGAGCUGGUGUUGGUAAUGAGUUUGGUUGUAAACAGGUGCAUUUUUGUAGAUGUGUACAUGUUUGUACACCAAUGUAAACUAAAUUUUUUUUUAAAUGAGAAUUAUGUAAUCAUAUGGGUACUCUUUUUGUAGCUUUC
Molecule: long non-coding RNA, 4114 nt
Organism: Papaver somniferum (opium poppy)
Lineage: Eukaryota; Viridiplantae; Streptophyta; Magnoliopsida; Ranunculales; Papaveraceae
Exons: 3
Source: RefSeq, a predicted model, not a curated record